CACUGACAUUAGAUACCCGGGUAGUCCCAGCUGUAAACGAUGCAGACUAGGUGUUUGGACGGCCACGUGCCGUUCUAGUGCCCGCAGGGAAGCUGUUAAGUCUGCCGCCUGGGAGUACGAUCGCAAGAUUGAAACUUAAAGGAAUUGCGGGGAGCACCACAAGGGGUGAAGCUUGCGGUUUAAUUGGAGUCAACGCCGGAAAUCUCACCGGGAGCGACAGCAGUGUGAUAGCCAGAUUAAAGGUCCUGCUAGACGAGCUG
Molecule: ribosomal RNA, 260 nt
Filed under: uncultured archaeon
Lineage: Archaea
Description: partial 16S ribosomal RNA
Rfam family: Archaeal small subunit ribosomal RNA
Source: RNAcentral